This 429-nucleotide ribosomal RNA is filed under the name Bacteroidota bacterium. Its description in RNAcentral is "Bacteroidetes bacterium partial 16S ribosomal RNA". It matches the Rfam family "Bacterial small subunit ribosomal RNA", at positions 355 to 776 of the family's 1533-position model. Lineage: Bacteria; Pseudomonadati; Bacteroidota. The record is from RNAcentral.
UAGGGAAUCUUCCGCAAUGGACGCAAGUCUGACGGAGCAACGCCGCGUGAGUGAAGAAGGAUUUCGGUUCGUAAAACUCUGUUGUUAGAGAAGAACAGCGCAUAGAGUAACUGUUAUGCGUGUGACGGUAUCUAACCAGAAAGCCACGGCUAACUACGUGCCAGCAGCCGCGGUAAUACGUAGGUGGCAAGCGUUGUCCGGAUUUAUUGGGCGUAAAGCGAGCGCAGGCGGUCAAUUAAGUCUGAUGUGAAAGCCCCCGGCUCAACCGGGGAGGGUCAUUGGAAACUGGUUGACUUGAGUGCAGAAGAGGAGAGUGGAAUUCCAUGUGUAGCGGUGAAAUGCGUAGAUAUAUGGAGGACCACCAGUGGCGAGGGCGACUCUCUGGUCUGUAACUGACGCUGAGGCUCGAAAGCGUGGGUAGCAAACAGG